CCUACGGGGGGCUGCAGUGGGGAAUAUUGCACAAUGGGCGCAAGCCUGAUGCAGCCAUGCCGCGUGUGUGAAGAAGGCCUUCGGGUUGUAAAGCACUUUCAGCGGGGAGGAAGGCGGUGAGGUUAAUAACCUCAUCGAUUGACGUUACCCGCAGAAGAGGCACCGGCUAACUCCGUGCCAGCAGCCGCGGUAAUACGGAGGGUGCAAGCGUUAAUCGGAAUUACUGGGCGUAAAGCGCACGCAGGCGGUCUGUCAAGUCGGAUGUGAAAUCCCCGGGCUCAACCUGGGAACUGCAUUCGAAACUGGCAGGCUAGAGUCUUGUAGAGGGGGGUAGAAUUCCAGGUGUAGCGGUGAAAUGCGUAGAGAUCUGGAGGAAUACCGGUGGCGAAGGCGGCCCCCUGGACAAAGACUGACGCUCAGGUGCGAAAGCGUGGGGAGCAAACAGGAUUAGAUACCCUAGUAGUC
This 465-nucleotide ribosomal RNA is filed under the name uncultured Klebsiella sp. RNAcentral describes it as "bacterial SSU rRNA". It matches the Rfam family "Bacterial small subunit ribosomal RNA", at positions 338 to 795 of the family's 1533-position model. Lineage: Bacteria; Pseudomonadati; Pseudomonadota; Gammaproteobacteria; Enterobacterales; Enterobacteriaceae. The record is from RNAcentral.